AGAGCGAACGCUGGCGGCAGGCUUAACACAUGCAAGUCGAGCGGGCGGUAGCAAUACGUCAGCGGCAGACGGGUGAGUAACGCGUGGGAACGUACCUUUUGGUUCGGAACAACACAGGGAAACUUGUGCUAAUACCGGAUAAGCCCUUACGGGGAAAGAUUUAUCGCCGAAAGAUCGGCCCGCGUCUGAUUAGCUAGUUGGUGAGGUAAUGGCUCACCAAGGCGACGAUCAGUAGCUGGUCUGAGAGGAUGAUCAGCCACAUUGGGACUGAGACACGGCCCAAACUCCUACGGGAGGCAGCAGUGGGGAAUAUUGGACAAUGGGCGCAAGCCUGAUCCAGCCAUGCCGCGUGAGUGAUGAAGGCCCUAGGGUUGUAAAGCUCUUUUGUGCGGGAAGAUAAUGACGGUACCGCAAGAAUAAGCCCCGGCUAACUUCGUGCCAGCAGCCGC
This 449-nucleotide ribosomal RNA is filed under the name uncultured bacterium. Its description in RNAcentral is "SSU rRNA". It matches the Rfam family "Bacterial small subunit ribosomal RNA", at positions 26 to 518 of the family's 1533-position model. The record is from RNAcentral.